AGGACGAACGCUGGCGGCGUGCUUAACACAUGCAAGUCGAGCGGAAAGGCCCUUCGGGGUACUCGAGCGGCGAACGGGUGAGUAACACGUGAGCAACCUGCCCUACGCUUUGGGAUAACCCUCGGAAACGGGGGCUAAUACCGGAUAUUCAUCUCCUGUCGCAUGGUGGGGGUUGGAAAGUUUUUCGGCGUGGGAUGGGCUCGCGGCCUAUCAGCUUGUUGGUGGGGUGAUGGCCUACCAAGGCGACGACGGGU
Molecule: ribosomal RNA, 254 nt
Filed under: uncultured soil bacterium
Lineage: Bacteria
Description: partial 16S ribosomal RNA
Rfam family: Bacterial small subunit ribosomal RNA
Source: RNAcentral